Long non-coding RNA from Lynx canadensis (Canada lynx), 3192 nucleotides. The record is from Ensembl. Lineage: Eukaryota; Metazoa; Chordata; Mammalia; Carnivora; Felidae.
AGGAAUUAAAAUUAUACCCGACUAUUUAUUAUAUUUAUUUAAUGGGAUUCAUGUCUUCUCUUAAAGACUAGGACACUGUAUUUAUAAUUUGCAAGUGAAACUAAAUUAGCCUGGUCCGGGCAGAGGACUGGACUGGGGAAGAGCUGGGGUCCGUCUGAAGGCAGCCACCGACUUCCUGUGACUUUGCCCCUGGAGGCCCCAGGCAGGAUGAGGUGGAGGCCAGGCUCUGGCCAUGUCUGAUCGUCCGUGAGCCCGAGUUCUAACUUGAGCGUUACUAGCACGGACCUCGUCACGGAUUUCCACUCUCAGAGGCGUGGCCCAUCCCAGUUAGCAUCUAGCACCGCUCUGUGUGGGGCCGCUGCGUGUGGAGGGAACAUACGCUCGCGGAUAUGUCACAGCGGGUUCCCUUUACUCCCCGCCAUCCCCAGACUUCGGCUCCAGGGAGGCCCCAGGCUCCAGGAGGGCCGGGAAGGGCAGAGUGGAAGUGAGGCACAGGUGAGUGGAGUGGGGCCGGGGCUCCGGGGCUCCACGGGGGUGCGGACGCUGGUGGGGUUGGGGCCGCGGCCACGCAGGCACCCCGGGGAGGGGGGGGGGGACGUGUCCCUGGUGCUGCUCUGCCCCCUGUUCCCCACCCCUCCAGGUCUUCGGGCGGGUGGGAGGAAGAGGAAUUGGAGGAGGGCCAGGAGGAGAGAGAGGACCAGGCCCCACCGGAUGUCCCCCCCGCGUCUUGGGCACAGAGGCUGGAGUGUCCAGGAUCCGGGGCCCAUCUCCCGCUCGGAGGCCAAGGCCCCCUCCGAAUGGAGCAUCCUGGCUUUCUGGUCCCCAGUGGCCCCCAAGUCGAUAGGUCGCCCGGAUGGCCCAGGGAAACCCCAAGCAGGAACCCUCAGAGGAGACUCACCAAGUCUGGCUUCUGUACGAUCAUGUGACUCCACUCUGCUGGCCCGGAACGCGGCCUCUGUGCUUCCUCCGCAACACUCAAACGUUCCGGGUUUCUGGGACGAAGCCUCUUCCCGGGGAUUCAGCGCUGCAUGGACACGUGAUGUGCCACCAUCGACAGAUGGCUGCUGUGCACACUGAACAAGGGCUUGACGGUCUCGGCACUGAGAUGUUCAGUUGCUCCUCGCUGGAAGUUUGGGGCUCAGGGGGCUAAAGGAGAGGAACAUGGACAGUGAAUUUCCUUCUGGAUCCAAACCUCAUGAUUGCUAAGGCCCUUGCCAGUUCCAAAAGCUGUGACAUGUUGGCCAAGAGGCUUUGCAGUCCCUGACGUCUCCAGACGUCUAUUUUCUCGAAUGGGAAAUGGGGAUAUAGCCUGAGAGAGGACACCUCUGAACGCACUGCUGCACCGUCGCGGGUUUGGGAGGCAGCCCCGCAGGCCUGUGGGACAGCCGCGAUGAGCGGUCACACGGCGGUCACACAGGGCACAAACCACACGGUGCUUCCUCCUGCAGUCCUCACAGUGGAUGACCCCCUUUCCCAGAUGCGGAAAAGACAGCACCAGGGUUAAUGAGUUUGUCCUCUCAGGCUACACCCCUAGGCAGUGGGGAAGCCGGGACUCAAACCCAGGCCGUCAACACCUUCUAGAACGCGGUGCAGUUCCGCGCCUCCACCCCCGCCCCGGUCAUGCUGGUGCUUACCAAGAGCUGACCGUGUUGGUACCAAAUGUGCUUAUGCUGGCGUAUGUGUUAUUGCAAUUUGUCAUUUAAUUAAAUAUCAUGCAAACUGGUGAACCAAGUGUGAAAACAGCACCGUUUCUAUGAAAAACUGAGUCGAAUCCUUAGAAGUCUUGAUUAGGUGACUCAAUUCAAAAACUACUAUUGAAUUAGAUGGGACCAAGACAGUUAUCACAUUUGGCUGCAAAAUAAUAAAAGUCUAGAUGAGUUUUGCACUUAGAUUGCUUCAACCACGCCACUCGCUGUUCCGCCCCCCCCGUGAGCAAACUGGAAAUCGCAGGUGGUCCAUUUAUGCGCGAAGGAUGAAGAAGUCAGCCGCGGCCUGUUCUCCAAGAAGAGACCCUGGCCACACUUUGACAGACGCAGAUGAAUGUAUUUUUUUGUUUUAAGUUGAAAUAAAAGAACCCAUUUCAGGUCGUGUCAGAGAAGAGGGUUUCCACUACACCGUGAAACUCCUCACCGUGAGAUUUGGAGGAUUCGUUAAAAAUAUCUGCCGAGGGCCUACCAUAUGCCCAGCAUGCCACGAGCUGCUGAGGACACUGGGGACACGGCCGCUCACCUUUCCUAUUGUCUCGUCAGGUGUUGGGGGUGUCUUGAUUUGGAUGCAGGUUCACCAGCUGUAACAGAGUCAAUGUAAUCUACCAUUUAUUUAUUUAUGAGAGAGAGAUGGGGGGGGAGAGAGAGAGAGAGAGAGAGAGAGAGGAGAGAGAGAGAGAGAAUCCCAAGCAGGCUCUGCAAGGCCAGCCACGGGGCUCGACCCACGAACUGUGAGAUCAUGACCUGAGCUGAAUCGAGAGCAGGACGCUUAACCGACCGAGCCACCCAGGAGCCCCGUAACUGUGCCUUUAAACAGAGAGAACUUUACUCCUGUCUCACGUAAGCAGUCCCCAUGGAGGCGGUGGCUUCCUGGAGCUCAGGGAGUCAGGCAGGACGCUCUGCUGUCCCCAACACAGCAUUCCCAUGCCAUGUCCUAAACUGGCUGCCCCACCCGCGGCAUAGCACCUUCAUUCCUGCCGGUAAGAAGGAAAAAGGAGUGGAGGAAAACCUGCGUUUUUUCCAAGGUGCCGUCUGGCAGUUUCAAGUCAUUUCUGCUCGGACCUCAUUGGUCAGAGUUUAGUCACAUGUACGUGCCCGGCUGCUGCAAGGGAGACUGGAAAAUGUAGUGUGUAGCCGGGCAGCCGUGUGGCCACAUAAACUCCGGGGUUCUGUUGCCGAAGGAAGAAAGGAGAGUGGAUUUGAGGGGACAAGCAGCGGCAGCUGCCACACGGGAGUAUCACCACGGGGUCAGGCCAAGCCCAUGUCAACCGUCACUGACUCUACUACUGAAUAGCUGUAUUAUCUUAGGAAAAUGACUUCUCUCUGUGCUAGUCAAUGUCCUCAUCUAAAACACGAGGAUAAAAAUGCAUCGUAGGAUCGACAGGGUGAAAUGUGUAAGCAUCCGGAACUCAGGAGUGCUCGAUCCAUGAGCCUUUAAUAAAUUGGUUUUGAAGGCAUUUCUCAAAGAAAACUCUAGAAGCCUGGA